Molecule: ribosomal RNA, 253 nt
Filed under: uncultured bacterium
Lineage: Bacteria
Description: partial 16S ribosomal RNA
Rfam family: Bacterial small subunit ribosomal RNA
Source: RNAcentral
UACAGAGGUGGCAAGCGUUGUUCGGAAUUACUGGGCGUAAAGGGCGAGUAGGUGGCCACCUAAGUCAGACGUGAAAUCCCCCGGCUUAACCUGGGAACUGCGUCUGAUACUGGACGGCUUGAGUAUGGGAGAGGAACGUAGAAUUCCAGGUGUAGCGGUGAAAUGCGUAGAUAUCUGGAGGAAUACCGGUGGCGAAGGCGGCUCUCUGGGACGGUACUGACGCUGAGACGCGAAAGCGUGGGGAGCGAACAGG